UGAAUGAGAUGCACUUUAAAUGCAAAUUUUUAGUAAGAGUGAAUUAUCUUUGUUUUUUGAGGUUUACAUUGAUCUUCUCAUUUUAUUUUUCAGCGGAACUUCGGAAAGUAUUUGAACCUCAGGGAAAAAAUGAUGAACAUCAGAAAAAGGAUGGUAAAGUCUCUUUUAUAUCCCUUUACUCCCCAAACACUGUAAAAUGUCAGCUUUCCUGAUGUCGAAAAUAUAUCCCAGCUUUUAGUGAGCAGGUCAUCAUUGGCUCGCCCUCUUCCAGAUCUCUACUAUUCUAGCGAGAUAUUUUGCUUACGGACUUCUUCCAUGUUCUUCCCUUUUCUGCUCUUUCAAAGCUUACAUAUUCCAAUAUAAUAAAAGAUAAUUCAUUUUGGACA
RNAcentral lists this long non-coding RNA (386 nucleotides) under Sus scrofa (pig). RNAcentral describes it as "lncRNA (ENSSSCG00070002245.1)". Lineage: Eukaryota; Metazoa; Chordata; Mammalia; Artiodactyla; Suidae. The record is from RNAcentral.